UACGGAGGAUGCAAGCGUUAUCCGGAUUUAUUGGGUUUAAAGGGUGCGCAGGUUGUUUGAUAAGUCAGUGGUGAAAGUCUGUCGCUUAACGGUAGGAUUGCCAUUGAUACUGUUGGACUUGAAUAUGGAUGAGGUAGGCGGAAUGUGUAGUGUAGCGGUGAAAUGCAUAGAUAUUACACAGAACACCGAUUGCGAAGGCAGCUUACUAAUCCAUCAUUGACGCUGAGGCACGAAAGCGUGGAGAUCAAA
RNAcentral lists this ribosomal RNA (249 nucleotides) under uncultured prokaryote. RNAcentral's name for it is "partial 16S ribosomal RNA". It matches the Rfam family "Bacterial small subunit ribosomal RNA", at positions 524 to 772 of the family's 1533-position model. The record is from RNAcentral.